GGCCGGUUAGCUCAGUCAGCUGAGCGUAGCACUAUCAAUGCUAUGGUCGCAGGUUCGAUUCCCGUUCGGUCC
Molecule: transfer RNA, 72 nt
Filed under: Apaloderma vittatum (bar-tailed trogon)
Lineage: Eukaryota; Metazoa; Chordata; Aves; Trogoniformes; Trogonidae
Rfam family: tRNA
About the family: Transfer RNA (tRNA) molecules are approximately 80 nucleotides in length.
Source: Rfam by way of RNAcentral